RNA transcript from Mercenaria mercenaria, 1811 nucleotides. It is a transcript of the gene named calmodulin-like, with no coding region annotated. The record is from RefSeq and is a predicted model, not a curated record. The transcript has 2 exons. NCBI's taxonomy places the organism in Eukaryota, Metazoa, Mollusca, Bivalvia, Venerida, Veneridae.
AUUUCGUUGCAGUGAUACUUUUAACGUUAGUGUAUAGCCAGUGGACAUGGUUGUGAUUAUGGUGUUCAGUUGAACCUGUCUUAGCGGCCACCUGUAUAAAGCAGUCACUUGUUUCGAACAGUGAAAGUGGUUAAGAGUGUGGUUAUGUGGUAAUGCUUUUCAUAGUGAAAGUGGUGGUAUGUGUGGUAACGGUUUUCAUAGUGAAAGUGGUGGUAUGUGUGGUUAUGGUUUUCAUAGUGAAAGUGGUGGUAUUUGUGGUUAUGGUUUUCAUAGUGAAAGUGAGGGUAUGUGUGGUAAUGGUUUUCAUAGUGAAAGUGAUGGUAUGUGUGGUAAUGGUUUUCAUAGUGAAAGUGGUGGUAUGUGUGGUUAUGGUUUUCAUAGUGAAAGUGAUGGUAUAUGUGGUAAUGGUUUUCAUAGUGAAAGUGGUGGUAUGUGUGGUUAUGGUUUUCAUAGUGAAAGUGGUGGUAUUUGUGGUUAUGGUUUUCAUAGUGAAAGUGAGGGUAUGUGUGGUUAUGGUUUUCAUAGUGAAAGUGGUGGUAUGUGUGGUUAUGGUUUUCAUAGUGAAAGUGAUGGUAUAUGCGGUAAUGGUUUUCAUAGUGAAAGUGGUGGUAUGUGUGGUAAUGGUUUUCAGAGUGAAGUGGUGGUAUGAGUGAUAACGGUGUGGUAAUGGUUUUCAUAGUGAAAGUGAUGGUAUGUGUGGUAAUGGUUUUCAUAGUGAAAGUGAUGGUAUGUUCAGUAAUGGUUUUCAUAGUGAAAGUGUGGUAUGAGUGAUAACGGUGCGGUAAUGGUUUUCAUUGUGAAAGUGUGGUAAUGGUUUUCAUAAUGAAAGUGAUGGUAUAUGUGGUAAUGGUUUUCAUAGUGAAAGUAAUGGUAUACGUGGUAAUGGUUUUCAUAGUGAAAGUGAUGGUAUGUGUGGUAAUGGUUUUCAUAGUGAAAGUAAUGGUAUACGUGGUAAUGGUUUUCAUAGUGAAAGUGCUGGUAUAUGUGGUAAUGGUUUUCAUAGUGAAAGUAAUGGUAUACGUGGUAAUGGUUUUCAUAGUGAAAGUAAUGGUAUAUGUGGUAAUGGUUUUCAUAGUGAAAUAAUGGUAUAUGUGGUAAUGGUUUUCUUAGUGAAAGUAAUGGUAUAUGUGGUAAUGGUUUUCAUAGUGAAAGUGAUGGUAUGUUAGGUAAUGGUUUAAAUAGUGAAAGUGGUGGUAUGAGUGAUAACGGUGCGGUAAUGGUUUUCAUAGUGAAAGUGUAGUAAAGGUUUUUAUAGUGAAAGUGAUGGUAUGUGUGGUAAUGGUUUUCAUAGUGAAAGUAAUGGUAUAUGUGGUAAUGGUUUUCAUAGUGAAAGUAAUUGUAUAUGUCGUAAUGGUUUUCAUAGUGAAAGUGGUGGUAUGUGUGGUAAUGGUUUUCAUAGUGAAAGUAAUGGUAUAUGUGGUUAUGGUUUUCAUAGUGAAAGUAAUGGUAUAUGUUGUAAUGGUUUUCAUAGUGAAAGUGGUCGUUUAUGUGACAGUGACAACGUAAAGCAGGGGUAGCAGAACAGCUUUAUUGAAUUUUGAAUGUCUUAUCAAAAACAAUGUGUAAACUUAUAAAAAUAUAUAAUAUGCUUGUGUUGGGAGUCAGUCAAAUUUUCACGUUGGAUAACUAUCUUUAAAAAUAGCAUAGUAGAUGAUGGUUCAAAUGCAUAGGAGCUGCAUGGGACAAGGUUUUGGUGAAAUCACUUUUCCAGACUUUCUGUCCAUAAUGGCGAAGAAAUUAAAAGAAUAUGAAGGCGAGGAAUCCUUACGAUUGGCAUUCCGAGUGUUUGACAAAGACGAUAACGGAACGGU